GUGCUCACUUCGGCAGCACAUAUACUAAAAUUGGAGUGAUACAGAGUUUAGCAUGGUCCCUGCGCAAGGAUGACACGCAAAUUCGUGAAGUGUUCCAUAUUUUU
Molecule: small nuclear RNA, 104 nt
Filed under: Nannospalax galili (Upper Galilee mountains blind mole rat)
Lineage: Eukaryota; Metazoa; Chordata; Mammalia; Rodentia; Spalacidae
Source: RNAcentral